This 498-nucleotide ribosomal RNA is filed under the name uncultured bacterium. RNAcentral describes it as "partial 16S ribosomal RNA". It matches the Rfam family "Bacterial small subunit ribosomal RNA", at positions 30 to 523 of the family's 1533-position model. The record is from RNAcentral.
AUUGAACGCUGGCGGCAGGCCUAACACAUGCAAGUCGAGCGGUUGAGGUAGCUUGCUACCGAUGCAGCGGCGAACGGGUGAGUAAUACAUGGGAAUCUGCCUGGUAGUGGGGGACAACGUUUCGAAAGGAACGCUAAUACCGCAUACGCCCUACGGGGGAAAGGGGGGGAUCGCAAGACCUCUCGCUAUCAGAUGAGCCCAUGUCAGAUUAGCUUGUUGGUGAGGUAAAGGCUCACCAAGGCGACGAUCUGUAACUGGUCUGAGAGGAUGAUCAGUCACACUGGAACUGAGACACGGUCCAGACUCCUACGGGAGGCAGCAGUGGGGAAUAUUGGACAAUGGGGGCAACCCUGAUCCAGCCAUGCCGCGUGUGUGAAGAAGGCCUUAGGGUUGUAAAGCACUUUCAGUGGGGAGAAAGGUGAUUCACCUAAUACGUGAGUCAAUUGAUGCUACCCACAGAAGAAGCACCGGCUAACUCCGUGCCAGCCGCCGCAGUAA